UAGCUCAGUUGGUAGAGUGCUUGCCUUGCAUGCACAAGGCCCUGGGUUCAAUUCCUAG
This 58-nucleotide transfer RNA is filed under the name Ictidomys tridecemlineatus (thirteen-lined ground squirrel). Its description in RNAcentral is "Spermophilus tridecemlineatus (thirteen-lined ground squirrel) tRNA". It matches the Rfam family "tRNA", at positions 8 to 63 of the family's 71-position model. Rfam says of the family: Transfer RNA (tRNA) molecules are approximately 80 nucleotides in length. Their secondary structure includes four short double-helical elements and three loops (D, anti-codon, and T loops). Lineage: Eukaryota; Metazoa; Chordata; Mammalia; Rodentia; Sciuridae. The record is from Rfam by way of RNAcentral.